Molecule: ribosomal RNA, 250 nt
Filed under: uncultured bacterium
Lineage: Bacteria
Description: partial 16S ribosomal RNA
Rfam family: Bacterial small subunit ribosomal RNA
Source: RNAcentral
UACGAAGGGGGCUAGCGUUGUUCGGAAUCACUGGGCGUAAAGGGCGCGUAGGCGGCCUUGUAAGUUAGAUGUGAAAGCCCUGGGCUUAACCCGGGAAUUGCAUUUAAUACUGCAAAGCUUUGAGUAAGGUAGGGGAUAGCGGAAUACCCAGUGUAGAAGUGAAAUUCGUAGAUAUUGGGUGGAACACCAAUGGCGAAGGCAGCUAUCUGGACCUUUACUGACGCUGAGGCGCGAAAGCGUGGGGAGCAAA